RNAcentral lists this long non-coding RNA (1252 nucleotides) under Sus scrofa (pig). RNAcentral describes it as "lncRNA (ENSSSCG00015080073.1)". The record is from RNAcentral. Lineage: Eukaryota; Metazoa; Chordata; Mammalia; Artiodactyla; Suidae.
GCAUAUGGAGGUUCCCAGGCUAGAGCUAUAGCUGCUGGCCUACACCAGAACCUCAGCAAUGCCAGAUUCGAGCUGCAUCUGCAACCUACACCACAGCUCAUGGCAGCGCCGGAUCCUUAACCCACUGAGUGAGGCCAGGGAUUGAACCCUCACCCUCAUGUUUCCUAGUCAGAUUCAUUUCAGCUGCACCACAACAGGAACUCCUUUGAAAUGUCUUUUUCUCCUAUUGUGAGCUAGGUUGAGCAUCUUUUCAUUUGUUUAAGGUCAUUUGCAUUUCUUUUUCUCUGUAUUCUUUGUUUAUAUCUUCUGCCCAUUUUUCUAUAGAUUGCUUUUUUCCUUCAAUUUUUUAGCAGCUCUUUUUGAAUAUGUAACCCCUUGUGACAAAAUUUUCAAAUGUUUUAUCUUUCAACUUUUCGGAAGGCAUUUUUCCUGUGUAAAUGUGUAUUUUUAUCUACUCAGUUUUCUUAGUCUCUUAGUUUUUUUUCUUAUUCUUUCCAAUUUUGAGUCAAAGUUUGGACAGUGUUUUAACAUGUCUUUCUUUUUUUUUUGUUUGUUUUUGUUUUGUUUUUUCUUUUUUGUUUUUUAGGGCCGCACCCAGCGCAUUAUGGUGAUUCCCAGGCUAGGGGUCAAAUCAGAGCUGUAACUUCCGGCCUACACCACAGCCAUAGCAAUGCCAGAUCCCAGCCUUGUCUGUGACCUACACCACAGCUCAUGGCAACGCCAGUUCCUUAACCCACUGAGCAAGGCCAGCGAUCAACCCUGCGUCCUCGUGGAUAUUAGUCAGCUUCGUUUCUGCUCACCCAUGAGGGGAACUCCUAAAAUUUCAUUUUUACUUUGGAAAAUUUCUUUAAUACUUUAUCUGAUAAUUUUUCCGCUUAAGUUUAAAUAGGGAGCUUUCUGGGCAGGCAUCAAUGACAUUUAUUGUUUAUUGGAGCAGCCACAGUUUACCAGUGGUGUUAUAUCUGACAUAGCUGUAGGUCUUCGUACUCAUAAUAACACCAAGGCAGCUCAGGGGCAAAACAUUGUUAUCCUCCUUUAAAUGAGACUUGAUGAAUAGGCAAAUUCUUUCUCUUAGUACACAUUUAUUCAUGAUUCUAUCCAAAGCGUUAAUUUUCUUCCUCUGUCCCAUUUCUUGAGUGGCCGUAUACUCUGGAUAUUUUUCCUGAUCCGUAAAGUGAAGAGAUUAAAUUGGAGGCCUCUGGUCCUUUCUAGCUCUUAUAUUCCAAUGUGUCAAUGAAUUUCAAAAGAUUUG